UAAUUCCAGUGUAAUUAACAUGCAUUGAUAGUAGUUUCUGGUGUACAGUAUUAUGAUACAACAAAUCUAGACAGUGCCCAGGGCUCAUCAUGAAUUUUUCGAAGGAAGGAGGGAACCUUCUGGAUGGUCCUUGAGGCUGUAGAAUCCUAUCGGUAUUGAGCACCCUGCACCUGAUGUGAGUUCUGGAGCUGCAGCAGCCAUCUUGUGACCAGGAGACCUCAAACAUAAGGAUGAAAACCAAUAAGCUAAGUGUGUCCAAGAAGACAGGUUGGAAUUCCAGGUUCCUGGUGGCAUUAUUGAGGCCAGAAGGAGCGAUCGGCAAGCCCCGGUAUCCUGACUUUCAGCGAUCAUGGACCCUGAGGUCCCCCUCCUGAUGGGGCCACAGUCGGAGCCUGGAGCUUGUCCACUGUGGCUGCCAGCAUGUGGGGGCAGAUGUUUUCGUUAGACUCUGCUGCAUGACAGACCACACCAGAUCUUGGUAGCUUAGACUGACUAUUUUUUUCCCCCAGAUUCUGUAACUGACUGGGUAACACCACUGCUGGCUGUGUCUGUGGUCAGCGGAAGGCCACCUGGGGCCUGGGCCCUGCCAGGAUGGUGGUGACAACACUUCCUCCUCCCUCUACGUGGUCUUUCAGCCCAGAUAUCUUCAAGGCCUGGUGGGCGUGGGGCACAGUCCCAAGAGGGCCAAGACAGAAACCCAAAGGCCUGAGAUCCUAUGCCUGU
Molecule: long non-coding RNA, 723 nt
Organism: Lontra canadensis (Northern American river otter)
Lineage: Eukaryota; Metazoa; Chordata; Mammalia; Carnivora; Mustelidae
Exons: 4
Source: RefSeq, a predicted model, not a curated record